AACCUCUACAAAUUUUACGUAUUCUUUUGUGUUUUUAUUUUCUUAAUGCUCUUGGUGAGAAUAAGAGUUUUUAGUUCUCAAUAGAGCCUGUAAACCAAAUAAUCCAUCCACGACAAAAUCCACAAAACAUAAUACUUUAUUGAUGAUUGACGCCCCAAAAUUCAAACUAUCAAAAACACACAAAAACUCAAUCAUGAUAUGAAGCAACAACCCCACCAAAAGUCCACAGUCCCAAAACACCAAUAAGCUCUACCAUCUCAACAAGGGUAGAAACAAACUACGGCUGCAACAGCAGGCUACCAGUGGUUCCAGAACCAACACAACCAGCAAAAUCUGAAGAAAAGGCCUAAAAUCAGCCACACCUGCUAUUAAUCUGAACCGCAGUCACCGGCCAAAGGGAAAACCCAAAACGUGGAUAUACCAGUGAUAGACAAGGCAAACGGCACAAGAAAAAAAGAAAGAAAAUAUAGAAAUCAAAGAUAAAAAGGUGAAAAAAAAAGCGACCAAGAAGAGGCCGGACGAGCAGCACAAGGCCACUCAUGAAAAACAUAAUCAAAGACUACAUUAAGCCCAUGUUUAAUGGUCAUUAUAAAGAGAAAUCGGAGGAAAACAAUAUUUUUAGUAGUGAUUUUUUAAGAAAUGCGUAGUUAAAAAGUAAGUAAAAGUUUUAAGUUUACUUAAAAAAUAUUUUAUUGUGUGAAUGUGAGAAAUAAAGAGUUUUAAAAUAAAGUGAGUUAAACAAGGGCUAAUUCGAAAAAGGAUUCAUCUGCUUGAUAUCAUGUUAAACAAGAAAGUUUUAUUCAAUAUCUCAAAAAGAUUUAAAAGUUACUAUAAAUAGUGUAAAACCUCAGACCGUAGCUCUGGGAAAGGAAGAUAUGAGACUACCAUUAAUAGAUAAACAUAAAUAACAAUGAUUAAUCUAACCAAU
RNAcentral lists this long non-coding RNA (928 nucleotides) under Olea europaea (common olive). RNAcentral's name for it is "long non-coding RNA (OEUR_LNC014185)". The record is from RNAcentral. Lineage: Eukaryota; Viridiplantae; Streptophyta; Magnoliopsida; Lamiales; Oleaceae.